This 103-nucleotide ribosomal RNA is filed under the name Meriones unguiculatus (Mongolian gerbil). The record is from RNAcentral. Lineage: Eukaryota; Metazoa; Chordata; Mammalia; Rodentia; Muridae.
GUCUAGUACCAUACCGCCAUGACCACACCCAAUGCCCUCUGACCUCAGAAGCUAGGCAGGGUUGGCCGUAGUAUUUGGAUAGGAGAAUGUAAAAUUUAAGACA